UUUCCGGGCCUUGUACACACCGCCCGUCACACCACGAAAGUUGGCAAUACCCGAAGCCGGUGGCCUAACCCGCAAGGGAGGGAGCCGUCGAAGGUAGGGUCGAUGAUUGGGGUG
Molecule: ribosomal RNA, 114 nt
Filed under: uncultured bacterium
Lineage: Bacteria
Description: partial 16S ribosomal RNA
Rfam family: Bacterial small subunit ribosomal RNA
Source: RNAcentral